RNAcentral lists this ribosomal RNA (442 nucleotides) under uncultured bacterium. RNAcentral's name for it is "bacterial SSU rRNA". It matches the Rfam family "Bacterial small subunit ribosomal RNA", at positions 330 to 789 of the family's 1533-position model. The record is from RNAcentral.
UCCAGACUCCUACGGGAGGCAGCAGUAGGGAAUCUUUCACAAUGGGCGAAAGCCUGAUGGAGCAACGCCGCGUGCAGGAUGAAGGCCUUCGGGUUGUAAACUGCUUUUAUAAGCGAGAAAUAUGAUGGUAACUUAUGAAUAAGGAUCGGCUAACUACGUGCCAGCAGCCGCGGUAAUACGUAGGGGGCGAGCGUUAUCCGGAUUUACUGGGUGUAAAGGGAGCGUAGACGGUUCUGCAAGUCUGAAGUGAAAGCCCGUGGCUUAACCGCGGAACGGCUUUGGAAACUGUGGAACUGGAGUGCUGGAGAGGCAAGCGGAAUUCCUAGUGUAGCGGUGAAAUGCGUAGAUAUUAGGAGGAACACCAGUGGCGAAGGCGGCUUGCUGGACAGUAACUGACGUUGAGGCUCGAAAGCGUGGGGAGCAAACAGGAUUAGAUACCCUA